Molecule: ribosomal RNA, 404 nt
Filed under: Verrucomicrobiota bacterium
Lineage: Bacteria; Pseudomonadati; Verrucomicrobiota
Description: Verrucomicrobia bacterium partial 16S ribosomal RNA
Rfam family: Bacterial small subunit ribosomal RNA
Source: RNAcentral
UGGGGAAUAUUGCACAAUGGAGGGAACUCUGAUGCAGCGACGCCGCGUGAACGAAGAAGGCUUUCGAGUCGUAAAGUUCUUUUAUAUGGGAAGAUAAUGACGGUACCAUAAGAAAAAGCCCCGGCUAACUACGUGCCAGCAGCCGCGGUAAUACGUAGGGGGCUAGCGUUGUCCGGAAUCACUGGGCGUAAAGAGCUUGUAGGCGGUUCGUCGCGUCUGGUGUGAAAGCCCAUCGCUUAACGGUGGGUUUGCGCCGGGUACGGGCGGGCUAGAGUGCAGUAGGGGAGACUGGAAUUCCCGGUGUAACGGUGGAAUGUGUAGAUAUCGGGAAGAACACCAAUGGCGAAGGCAGGUCUCUGGGCUGUUACUGACGCUGAGAAGCGAAAGCGUGGGGAGCGAACAGG